Non-coding RNA from Camellia sinensis, 525 nucleotides. NCBI's taxonomy places the organism in Eukaryota, Viridiplantae, Streptophyta, Magnoliopsida, Ericales, Theaceae. The record is from RefSeq and is a predicted model, not a curated record.
AAGAGGGACGGGUGGCGACACGGCGGCAGAGACUCCAAUGGAGUUUAAUCCCCUACUUUGUUGAGAUGUCUGAAAGGGGACUCUCACUUUGCUGAUUUGAAAGUGGAAAAUUGCGAGCUUUCAUGUAAUGGAGUGAGUCAACUUGUAGGUGUUCUUUCAACUUUAAAGAGGCCACUGGAUUCUCUAUCUAUUGGAGAAAAUGGCCUUGGCAGCAAAGUUGGAGCACCUUUGGGAAAAUUUUUGGGCAUAGGUAUUCAAGCACUAGAAAUUGAAGAUAUUGGGCUUGGUUCAUCUGGCUUUCUGGAACUACAGAAAGAAAUAGGAGAAGAUUUGAAGCUUGCCUACAUCAACAUGAGGUUCUACUGAUGCCUAGACUUUUUUAGAACUUGUGUUGUAGCUUAUUUCUGAAACAUAAACUUGUUGAUUAAUAUUGUAUAGUAAAAACUGCGGUGGGAUUGGCAAUGAUUAUAAUUUGCUAACUUUUUAUUUUCUUUUUUUAUUUUUGGGUUAGUUUAUUUUUUUAUG